RNAcentral lists this ribosomal RNA (562 nucleotides) under uncultured Glomeromycotina. Its description in RNAcentral is "SSU rRNA". It matches the Rfam family "Eukaryotic small subunit ribosomal RNA", at positions 548 to 1114 of the family's 1831-position model. Lineage: Eukaryota; Fungi; Glomeromycota. The record is from RNAcentral.
UUGGAGGGCAAGUCUGGUGCCAGCAGCCGCGGUAAUUCCAGCUCCAAUAGCGUAUAUUAAAGUUGUUGCAGUUAAAAAGCUCGUAGUUGAAUUUCGGGAUCAAUUUGUUGGUCGUGCCUCGGUACGUACUGGCAUUAUUGGUUUCUACCUUCUGAAGAACCUUGAUGUCAUUAAUUUGGUGUCUUGGGGAAUCAGGACUGUUACUUUGAAAAAAUUAGAGUGUUUAAAGCAGGCAUACGCUUGAAUACAUUAGCAUGGAAUAAUGAAAUAGGACGUUUGAUUCUAUUUUGUUGGUUUCUAGGAUCGACGUAAUGAUUAAUAGGGAUAGUUGGGGGCAUUAGUAUUCAAUUGUCAGAGGUGAAAUACCUGGAUUUAUUGAAGACUAACUACUGCGAAAGCAUUUGCCAAGGAUGUUUUCAUUAAUCAAGAACGAAAGUUAGGGGAUCGAAGACGAUCAGAUACCGUCGUAGUCUUAACCAUAAACUAUGCCGACUAGGGAUCGGAUGAUGUUAUUUUUAAUGACUCAUUCGGCGCCUUACGGGAAACCAAAGUGUUUGGGUUC